Molecule: ribosomal RNA, 320 nt
Filed under: uncultured Prevotella sp.
Lineage: Bacteria; Pseudomonadati; Bacteroidota; Bacteroidia; Bacteroidales; Prevotellaceae
Description: bacterial SSU rRNA
Rfam family: Bacterial small subunit ribosomal RNA
Source: RNAcentral
GAUGAACGCUAGCUACAGGCUUAACACAUGCAAGUCGAGGGGCAGCAUGUCGGUUGCUUGCAACCGAUGAUGGCGACCGGCGCACGGGUGAGUAACGCGUAUCCAACCUUCCCCAUAGUAGAGAAUAGCCCGGCGAAAGUCGGAUUAAUGCUCUAUGUUCUUCCUGGAUGGCAUCUGAUGGGAAGCAAAGGUUCACCGCUAAGGGAUGGGGAUGCGUCUGAUUAGCUUGUCGGCGGGGUAACGGCCCACCGAGGCGACGAUCAGUAGGGGUUCUGAGAGGAAGGUCCCCCACAUUGGAACUGAGACACGGUCCAAACUCC